AGUUUGAUUCUGGCUCAGAUUACUGAACGCUGGCUGGAUGCUUUACACAUGCAAGUCGAACGGCAGCACGGACUUCGGUCUGGUGGCGAGUGGCGUGAACGGUGACAAUGUAUCGGAACGUGCCUAGUAGCGGGGGAUAACUACGCGAAAGUUGCAGCUUGGAUUACCGGCAUGACACCUUCGGGGGAAAGCGGGGAACCUUCGGGCCUCGCACUAUUAGAGCGCGCUGAUAUCGGAUUAGCUGGGUUGGUGGGGGUAACGGCUCACUCAAGGCGACGAUCCGUGGCUGGUUUGAGAGGACGACCAGUAGCCACACUGGGACUGAGACACGGCCCAGACUCCUACGGAGGCAGCAGUGGGGAAUUUUGGACAAUGGGGAAACCGAUCCAGCCAUCCCGCGUGUGCGAUGAAGGCCUUCGAAGCUGUAAAGCACUUUGGUAGGAAAGAAACGGCACGUGACACACCCCGUGCAACUGACGGUACCUGCAGAAUAAGCAACGUUAACUACGCCAGCAGCCGUAAUACGUGGUGCAAGCGUUAAUCGGAAUUAUUACUGGGUGUAAGUGUGCGCAGGCGGUUCGGAAAGAAAGAUGUGAAAUCCCAGAGCUUAACUUUGAACUGCAUUUUAAUCACUGAGCUAGAGGUCAGAGGAGGUGGAAUUCCCGUGUAGCAGUGAAAUGCGUGUAGAUAAGGGUGAGGAACACCGAUGGCGAAGGCAGCCUCCUGGGGAUACUACUGAUGCUCAUGCACGAAAGCGUAGUAUAAACAGGAUGCCAGAUACCCUGUAUCCACGCUUCAAACGAUGUCAACUUAGCUGUUGGGGCCUUCGGGCCUGGUAGCGCAGUGUUAACGGUAAAGUUGACCGCCUGGGGAAGUACGGUCGCAAGAUUAAAACUCAAAGGAAUUGACGGGGACUCGCGCAAGCCGGUGCGGAUGAUGUGAUUAACGAUGCAACGCGAAAAACCUUACCUACCCUUGAUGAUAACGUAAUCCCAAGAGAUUUGGGAAGGUUUGCAAGAGAACCGGAACACAGUGCUGCAUGGCUGUCGUCAGCUCGUGUCGUGAGAUGGUUGAGUCCCGCAACGAGCGCAACCCUUGUCAUUAGUUGCUACGAAAGGGCACUCUGGACGAGAUCAGCCGGUGACAAACCGGAGAAGCGGGAUGACGUCAAGUCCUCGGCCCUGGCGGUAGGGCUUCACACGUCACAAUGGUCGGGACAGAGGGUCGCCGUCCAGGCGAGGGAGCCAAUCCCAGAAACCCGAUCAGUCCGAUCGUGCCUGCAACCUCGACUGCGUGAAGUCGGAAUCGCUAGUAAUCGCGGAUCAGCAUGCUCAGGCAAUACGUUCCCCGGUCUUGUACACACCGCCCGUCACACCAUGGGAGUGGGUUUUACCAGAAGUAGUUAGCCUAACCGUAAGGAGGGAAGAUUACCGGGUAGAUUCAUGACUGGGGUGAAGUCAACAAGGUAA
RNAcentral lists this ribosomal RNA (1469 nucleotides) under uncultured Bordetella sp. RNAcentral describes it as "partial 16S-23S ribosomal RNA intergenic spacer". It matches the Rfam family "Bacterial small subunit ribosomal RNA". Lineage: Bacteria; Pseudomonadati; Pseudomonadota; Betaproteobacteria; Burkholderiales; Alcaligenaceae. The record is from RNAcentral.